This 30-nucleotide non-coding RNA is filed under the name Mus musculus (house mouse). Lineage: Eukaryota; Metazoa; Chordata; Mammalia; Rodentia; Muridae. The record is from RNAcentral.
UCUGUGAACUGUUUGUAGAUCAUCCCUUGC